Molecule: ribosomal RNA, 429 nt
Filed under: Actinomycetes bacterium
Lineage: Bacteria; Bacillati; Actinomycetota; Actinomycetes
Description: Actinobacteria bacterium partial 16S ribosomal RNA
Rfam family: Bacterial small subunit ribosomal RNA
Source: RNAcentral
UAGGGAAUCUUCCGCAAUGGGCGAAAGCCUGACGGAGCAACGCCGCGUGAGUGAUGAAGGUCUUCGGAUCGUAAAACUCUGUUAUUAGGGAAGAACAAAUGUGUAAGUAACUAUGCACGUCUUGACGGUACCUAAUCAGAAAGCCACGGCUAACUACGUGCCAGCAGCCGCGGUAAUACGUAGGUGGCAAGCGUUAUCCGGAAUUAUUGGGCGUAAAGCGCGCGUAGGCGGUUUUUUAAGUCUGAUGUGAAAGCCCACGGCUCAACCGUGGAGGGUCAUUGGAAACUGGAAAACUUGAGUGCAGAAGAGGAAAGUGGAAUUCCAUGUGUAGCGGUGAAAUGCGCAGAGAUAUGGAGGAACACCAGUGGCGAAGGCAACUUUCUGGUCUGUAACUGACGCUGAUGUGCGAAAGCGUGGGGAUCAAACAGG